Long non-coding RNA from Drosophila subobscura, 331 nucleotides. RefSeq lists it as uncharacterized. The transcript has 4 exons. Lineage: Eukaryota; Metazoa; Arthropoda; Insecta; Diptera; Drosophilidae. The record is from RefSeq and is a predicted model, not a curated record.
UUUUUCCGAUAGCUCUUAUGGGUAUAAUUCAUGGAUCUCCAUGGGGAGAACUAUUUAUCUGCCCAACACCAAAAUUCCUGAGCCUGUGGCGUUGGCCCGCCAAGUGAAAUUAAGAAAAUAUAGAAUGAUCUUUCCCCGGGACAAUAAUUGGUCAUAUGCCUUUUAAACCUUUCCUGUUUGCUGAUCAUUUUUUAUCGUUUAAUGUAUGUAAAUAUUUAUCUCAAUGUUUUUGUUUCUAAAAUUUUCAAACAAUAUUUAGCUUAGCUUCUGCAAAUGUGUUUGUCGAAUUGUAUUUAAAAAAAUGUUAAUAAAUGCUUGUAUAAAUGAAGUA